This 1067-nucleotide ribosomal RNA is filed under the name Alternaria malorum var. polymorpha. Its description in RNAcentral is "SSU rRNA". It matches the Rfam family "Eukaryotic small subunit ribosomal RNA", at positions 57 to 1135 of the family's 1831-position model. RNAcentral also lists the same sequence under 1 other name. The record is from RNAcentral. Lineage: Eukaryota; Fungi; Ascomycota; Dothideomycetes; Pleosporales; Pleosporaceae.
GUCUAAGUAUAAGCAAUUAUACCGUGAAACUGCGAAUGGCUCAUUAAAUCAGUUAUCGUUUAUUUGAUAAUACCUUACUACUUGGAUAACCGUGGUAAUUCUAGAGCUAAUACAUGCUGAAAAUCCCGACUUCGGAAGGGAUGUGUUUAUUAGAUAAAAAACCAAUGCCCUUCGGGGCUCCUUGGUGAUUCAUGAUAACUUUACGGAUCGCAUAGCCUUGCGCUGGCGACGGUUCAUUCAAAUUUCUGCCCUAUCAACUUUCGAUGGUAAGGUAUUGGCUUACCAUGGUUUCAACGGGUAACGGGGAAUUAGGGUUCGAUUCCGGAGAGGCAGCCUGAGAAACGGCUACCACAUCCAAGGAAGGCAGCAGGCGCGCAAAUUACCCAAUCCCGACACGGGGAGGUAGUGACAAUAAAUACUGAUACAGGGCUCUUUUGGGUCUUGUAAUUGGAAUGAGUACAAUUUAAACCUCUUAACGAGGAACAAUUGGAGGGCAAGUCUGGUGCCAGCAGCCGCGGUAAUUCCAGCUCCAAUAGCGUAUAUUAAAGUUGUUGCAGUUAAAAAGCUCGUAGUUGAAACUUGGGCCUGGCUGGCGGGUCCGCCUCACCGCGUGCACUCGUCCGGCCGGGCCUUCCUUCUGAAGAACCUCAUGCCCUUCACUGGGCGUGCUGGGGAAUCAGGACUUUUACUUUGAAAAAAUUAGAGUGUUCAAAGCAGGCCUUUGCUCGAAUACGUUAGCAUGGAAUAAUAAAAUAGGGCGUGCGUUUCUAUUUUGUUGGUUUCUAGAGACGCCGCAAUGAUUAACAGGAACAGUCGGGGGCAUCAGUAUUCAGUUGUCAGAGGUGAAAUUCUUGGAUUUACUGAAGACUAACUACUGCGAAAGCAUUUGCCAAGGAUGUUUUCAUUAAUCAGUGAACGAAAGUUAGGGGAUCGAAGACGAUCAGAUACCGUCGUAGUCUUAACCGUAAACUAUGCCGACUAGGGAUCGGGCGAUGUUCUUUUUCUGACUCGCUCGGCACCUUACGAGAAAUCAAAGUUUUUGGGUUCUGGGGGGAUUAUGUCGCAAG